Molecule: long non-coding RNA, 443 nt
Organism: Zalophus californianus (California sea lion)
Lineage: Eukaryota; Metazoa; Chordata; Mammalia; Carnivora; Otariidae
Exons: 4
Source: RefSeq, a predicted model, not a curated record
UGGGUAUCAACCAGCCUCUUCUACCAAAGGAGAAAGCAGCCUGCCCCAGUGCUUCGAGCUGUUGCCAAGGCGACUUCUGCCUCCAUCCAUUCCCAGAGUUUCGGGUUGACUUUGAAGUUCAUUCUUUCAAGGACAGAAGGGAAUUCCUAAGAGUUCACUGACAGUAAAGUUCAUGACAAAGAAUUUCGUCUGCAUAGCAUUGCUGUGCAUUUCUGAAUAGACCCAAGUAAGACCCUUUGUAAAAGUUCAUACAUGCAUAUGAGACAACAUUCAAAACGACGAAGAGAAGACAGUGAAAAGUGAGCCUCUCCUUCACUUCUGAUUCGUAGUCACUGAACUCCCUCCUUCAGAGGCGAGUAGAAUUAGGUGAUUCUUCUGUAACCUUCCGUAGGUGUACAAUAUAGUGAUUCAACAAUUCUAUACAUGACUCAGUGCUCAUCACG